UCCCGGUUAGCUCAGCCGGUAGAGCGUUGGACUUUUAAUCCAAAGGCCAAGGUUUCAAGUCCCUUAUCGGGCU
Ciona savignyi (Pacific transparent sea squirt) is the source of this 73-nucleotide non-coding RNA. The record is from Rfam. Lineage: Eukaryota; Metazoa; Chordata; Ascidiacea; Phlebobranchia; Cionidae.